Molecule: long non-coding RNA, 2376 nt
Filed under: Mytilus galloprovincialis (Mediterranean mussel)
Lineage: Eukaryota; Metazoa; Mollusca; Bivalvia; Mytilida; Mytilidae
Source: RNAcentral
GGAGAACGUAGUAAACCAAAGGCCAAGCUGAUGCCAAGCUUCAGUGUAGAACUUUGAGCAGGUGCCAGGUAAUUUGCAUUUACAAAUCCAAACAUUUUAAAACUUGAGUUGGACAACAUUGUCAUGUUAAUUAUGUCCCACGACACCAGUUUGUCUGGUAAAACAGCUGUUAUAUGUCAUAGUAAUCUAAACUAAUUAUUAUUUACAAAAUAAUCAUGGUCGGUCAGUUUAUAUGCUUGUAAUAAUUUGGGAACAAACACCCAAGUCAAGGCAAAAUCCAAAAAACUAAUACAAACAUAUUGAUAACAACUGCAAGAAAGUAUUAAACAAAAGUGCUUUCAGAUAAUUGAUGGAUUCAAGCAAAGGCUACCCUUCAACAUGUUCAAAAGUUGAAUUGCCAUUAAUAUUGUACACAUACAAUGUACAUGUACAUGUUUGAUCAUCAUGUAGCAUGAACCAUCAAUGGCUUUUUAACUUGUCACAUUGACACAGACACUAAUCAACACUAAUUAAUUGAUACAUGUUUAUACUAGCAUGACUAUAGUAAAAUAUUUAUUUUGAUAAUAUCCAUCUAAAUAUCAUCUAAUAAUUUAAUCAGCAUUUCGUGUAUUUGAUUAAAGGUCAAAACUCUCAUGUACAUGAUGUAGGAUACAAAGAAACAUAAAUUAAGAGCAAACAAACAAUUGGCCGUUCCUACAUGUAUAUAUCUCAUUAUCUAGGAGUUUUUUCUGUUUAAUUUCUAUUGAAUGUAAGAAGAAGUUGAUACUUUACAUGUACAAAACAAUGUACAUGUACUUCCCAUUUUAAUCUGAUAUCUAUACUUAUUUUUUUUUAUACAAUAACUAAAAUUUAAAUACAGACUAAUCAUGCAAAUAUUCAACGACUGAGCGAAUAAGACACAAGUUCACCAAGGUGCAUUGUCCCUGAAAAAUGAAAAACAUUUUUGUAUUAAACAGAAAUUUAUAUUUUAUUUUUUAGAGAAACCUUCCUUGUUAAAGAUGUGACAUUAACCCCCCAAACCUACAAAACACAAUUGAUUAGGUAAGUUGCAGAUUAUCUGAGAUAUUUUUGAUUAUCAUCCCAAGAAAUGUAGCAUACAUGUAUUACUCUUCUUUCAUUUAUAUGAUCAUGAAGAUACAUAUGCAUGCACCUUGUAAUUUGUACAGUUGUAUAUAUGUAUUUCUGCCAUCUGUCACUGUUAAUUUAAAUGUACAUUAUGGGUAUGUAAUUAAUCAAAACAUGAUACAUGUAUUAAGACUAAUCAUGUGUAUUUUCAUUAACUAAUACACAGGUUUUUUUUUGUGUUCAGAUUGAUAGCAAUUUUGUUGUCAAUUGUUGUAGUGUCAUUGAAAAAUGAAUGAAAUAAAUGGUUGUACCUAAAAUUAUUUGAAACAUGUCUGAACUUAAAUUAGAUACAAUUUACAUUGUAUAUAACAUAUUUACAUUUGUACAUGAUCAUGAUCAAUGUAUCAAUGAUGACAAGGAACUUUAUAAAUUUCAGAGAUGCUAGUUAACCUUGUUAAUGACUGUGGAGAACUUAUGCUACAUUUACCUAAUACACAGACAAACACAGAUGGGCAAAGGUAAUAAAUAGAGCAGUUUUCUAAGAUACAUGUUCAUGUUAAUUGUUAUAUCAUGUAUAUUAUGCCUUGUCUUUAAAAAAAAUAGAUAUGAAACAUGAACACAUUAUGUACAUGUUCCAUGUUUACAUGUAUUAGAGAGUUAUCUAACCUGUUUAAAAUCUGAUAACUACUUAGAACUAUCAGAAUUUUAGUCUAUUUGUUUCUCUAUUUGUCCAUGAUUUAUCUUAUAAUGGAUAGAGUUGAAAAUUAAAUCUAUAAAGUUGGAUAAAAUAUUCCUAAUGCUUGCAUUGGUACAAAGCCAUUUUGAAAAUAAGAAGAUGUGGUAUGAUUGCCAAUAUGAAAACUCUCCCCAAUACAUGUACUUGACAUGACAUAUAAAGGAGCCACUUUAAGUCUCCAUACAACCUUACACAAAAAGACAAACCCAUACUACAUAAUCAGCUAUAAAUUUAAACAAUUCAAAGGAGAGGACUAAAUACAACUACUAAUUAGUUACAGCAUUAAAAUACAACUACUGAAUUACUAGUUCCUGACUUGGGACAGGCACAUACAGAAUGUGGCAGGGAUAAACUAGAUUGAACUUUAUUAAAAAUUUACCCAUUAUCAAACUAAAAAUGCCUAUUACUAAGUGAACUCAGAUUACUCUGCUGUUUACAUAUUUGUUAAACUAUAAUCUGCUUCUUGUAGAAAUUAGCCUGUGAGAUCAAGAUGCAGAUAUAUUCACCAGAUACCAAAUACCACACCAAAGCAGACAUUUUCAAAUGUUGAGGGACCUAUGAAUACAUCUACAUCC